AUGAUGAGUUAUUCCAACUUGCCAUUGGAAUUAUGGAUGGAGGUUCUUAAAACCGCCAUUCAAAUUUUCAAUAGAGUACCAAGCAAGUCGGUGCCCAAAACACCGUACAAGCUAUGGACAGGAAGGGUGUCCUCCCUACAACACUUCAGGGUGUGGGGGUGCCCUGCUGAGGCCAAAAUGUUUAAUCCAAACAUUGCAAAGUUAGAUCCCAAAACAGUGAGUUUCCACUUCAUUGGCUAUCCAGACAGAUCAAAGGGUUUUCGUUUCUACUGUCCAGACAGAUAUACAAAGUUUGUAGAAACGAGUCAUGCAGUCUUCUUAGAGGACGAAAUGAUGAGGGGGAGCUUGGUAGCUCGGAAAAUUGAUCUUGAGGAGAAGAGGGUAUAUGCACCUAAUCCGAUGAUUCAGGGGCCAUUUUUCUCACUACCAGUUGCAACUCCACCCAUGACAACUAUGGGGGUAGACCCGGAACCUGUCCGUCACGAGCCGACUGAACCCGUUGUUGAGCAUGAAAGGGAGGUGCAACAACAAAUUUUAGAAGAAGUGCCAGAAGUUGAGGCACAGGAUGUGCCAGAAACUGAGGCCCUUAGAAGGUCUACAAGACACAAAAAGUCAGCUAUUUCUACUGAUUAUAAAGUUUAUAACAUGGAAAUAGUUCAUACAGAAAAAGAUCCAACCUCAUAUGAAGAAGCCAUGAGAAGCCCUCAUUUAUCGAAUAGGAUGAAGGCAAUGGAAGACAAGAUGAAAUCGAUGAGUUCCAAAGAUGUUUGGGACUUAGAGAAAAUUCCUAAAGAAGCCAAAACUAUAUAUUGCAAAUGGGUCUACAAAAUUAAGUAUGACUCUAAAGGGAAUGUAGAAAAGUAUAAAGCACGACUCGUGGCAAAA
This 885-nucleotide ribosomal RNA is filed under the name Triticum aestivum (bread wheat). RNAcentral's name for it is "partial small subunit ribosomal RNA". Lineage: Eukaryota; Viridiplantae; Streptophyta; Magnoliopsida; Poales; Poaceae. The record is from RNAcentral.